This is a non-coding RNA of Maylandia zebra (zebra mbuna), 374 nucleotides long. NCBI's taxonomy places the organism in Eukaryota, Metazoa, Chordata, Actinopteri, Cichliformes, Cichlidae. The record is from RefSeq and is a predicted model, not a curated record.
AGUCCUGUUCAUCCUGUGACUGAGGGAGCUUCUGUUAGUCUGAGCUGCAGUUUGAAAACACAAAAAAUACUUUCCAAUGUGUUUUUCUAUCACAAUGACAAACUUAUUCAAAAUGAUCCCCGAGGGGAGCUGAAGAUCUCUGCAGUGUCAAAGUCUGAUGAAGGUUUCUACAAGUGUCAGUACUCAGGAAGAGAGUCAGCACAGAGCUGGAUGUCAGUUAAAGGAGCUGACAGCUCUUCAUCUCCUGUGUGGUUGAUUGUUGGACUGGUUUGUGGAGUCUCUCUCAUUAUUAUUCUCCUGCUCUUGUUGUAUCGCUGCAGACAGUCCAAGUAUUCCUGCUUCACCAGGUCGAUCCAGUCUGAGAGUCACAGUCC